Molecule: ribosomal RNA, 1497 nt
Filed under: Triticum aestivum (bread wheat)
Lineage: Eukaryota; Viridiplantae; Streptophyta; Magnoliopsida; Poales; Poaceae
Description: partial small subunit ribosomal RNA
Source: RNAcentral
AUGGGUAAGUUGCUAGCCUUGAAGCAACUAUAUGGUGAUUGGGAUAUCAGCUUUGACAAUUUGUAUAGGUUUAAGGCACAAGUUGAAAGUUGUUGCCCCGGUAGCAUAGUGCAGAUUGAUCAUCACACAAUAAAUGGUAAAAUCAGGUUUAGAAGAAUUUUUGUUGCUAUGAAACCUUGCAUAGAGGGGUUCCUUAGUGGUUGCAGACCAUAUUUGGCAAUAGAUAGCACAUUCUUGACGGGCAGGUUCAAGGGGCAGCUGGCUAGUGCUACCGCCGUUGAUGGCCAUAAUUGGAUGUAUCCGGUUAGUUUUGGAGUCUUUGAUUCUGAAACUAACGAGAAUUGGAUUUGGUUCAUGCAAUUGCUAAGACAGGCCAUAGGAACACCAAAUGGGUUGGCCAUAUGCACCGAUGCUGGUCAAGCAGUAAUGACAGGGGUGAAAGAAGUGUUCCCAGAAGCGGAACAUAGGGAAUGCAUGUUUCACUUGGUGACCAACUUCAAGAAGAAGUUCCAUGGGAAGGUGUUUGAUGACCACCUAUGGGCUGCUGCUUACUCAUGGAACCCAUAUUUAUUUGACAAACAUUGGGUUGCUAUGGAGACAACAAAGCCAGCUGCAACUGCAUAUAUAAGGAAGUGGCACAAUAGGUUGUGGUCUAGGAGUCAAUUCUCAACUAUAUGCAAGGUGGACUAUGUAACCAACAACCUGGCUGAGAGCUUUAACAAUUGGAUUAAGCACCACAAGUCCUUGAACUUGGAUGACCUCUUUGAUAAGGCGAGACAAUUGAUUAUGAUAUUGUGGAACCGAAGGAGAAAAGUAGCAAAGGAGUUAGAUGGUUUGAUUCUGCCCCACAUAAUUAAGAAGCUGAAUGCAAUGACCAGGGAAUUAAAUUUGGAGGUGGUAGAAAGCUCAGAAGAAGUGGCUGAAGUAACUGCAUUAGGUGGUAGUGGCUUUAGGUUUGUGGUCAACUUGCAAGAGGGGACAUGUUCUUGUCGACAAUGGCAAGUUUCUGGCCAUCCUUGCAAACAUGCUCUCGCAUUCAUCACGUCACUUAGCAAUGCACACAUACGGCACUAUGUGGACUUGUAUUUCUCCGUUGACAAAUAUAGAGCAGCUUAUGCCCAACUAAUUCCUGCUAUGCCGGACAAGACCCAAUGGCCUAAAUCUGACCAUGGAUUCUUCAUGCAUCCACCACUAUUGAAGGCCACGGCUGGUAGGCGUAAAACUGAGAGGUACAAAGGUUGCGGUGAGAAGAAAAGGAAAAGUGGUCAACACUUAUGCCCUAUUUGUAAGGAAUAUGGGCAUCAUUGGCACAAAUGUAAGAAGGGAAACCCAGAGGACAUUGCUGCAAUGAUGGCUGUGAGAGAACCACCAAAGAAAAGGACAAAGACAACCAAAACAGCUGAGUUAUCCAUUGUGCCUUGCGAAGAUGGAGUACCAACAAGAAUGUGUUUUCCCCCAAGCAAAAGCUUGGAAACUACAACCAAAAAAAGGGAAAAC